This 107-nucleotide small nuclear RNA is filed under the name Dasypus novemcinctus (nine-banded armadillo). The record is from RNAcentral. Lineage: Eukaryota; Metazoa; Chordata; Mammalia; Cingulata; Dasypodidae.
GGGCUCACUUUGGCAAUACAUAUCCUAAAAUUGGAACUAAGCAGAGAAGAUUAGCAUGGUCCCUGUACAAGGAUGACACGUAAAUUUGUGAAGUGUUCCAUAUUUGU